CCUAAUACAUGCAAGUCGAACAGUCUUCUCUAUGGAAGCUUGCUUCCACUGAGAAGAUAGUGGCGGACGGGUGAGUAACACGUGGGUAACCUGCCCAUAAGAGGGGGAUAACAUCCGGAAACGGGUGCUAAUACCGCAUAGUUUUCUUGAUCGCAUGAUUGAGAAAGGAAAGACGGCCUUUGUGCUGUCGCUUAUGGAUGGACCCGCGGCGUAUUAGUUAGUUGGUGAGGUAAUGGCUCACCAAGACGAUGAUACGUAGCCGACCUGAGAGGGUGAUCGGCCACAUUGGGACUGAGACACGGCCCAAACUCCUACGGGAGGCAGCAGUAGGGAAUCUUCCGCAAUGGACGAAAGUCUGACGGAGCAACGCCGCGUGAGUGAAGAAAAGGUUUUCGGAUCGUAAAACUCUGUUGUCAGAGAAGAACAAGUUGGAGAGUAACUGCUCCAGCCUUGACGGUAUCUGACCAGAAAGCCACGGCUAACUACGUGCCAGCCGCGGC
RNAcentral lists this ribosomal RNA (500 nucleotides) under uncultured bacterium. RNAcentral describes it as "bacterial SSU rRNA". It matches the Rfam family "Bacterial small subunit ribosomal RNA", at positions 47 to 518 of the family's 1533-position model. The record is from RNAcentral.